This 432-nucleotide ribosomal RNA is filed under the name uncultured bacterium. RNAcentral's name for it is "bacterial SSU rRNA". It matches the Rfam family "Bacterial small subunit ribosomal RNA", at positions 958 to 1392 of the family's 1533-position model. The record is from RNAcentral.
AACGCGAAGAACCUUACCUAGACUUGACAUCUCCUGCAUUACUCUUAAUCGAGGAAGUCCCUUCGGGGACAGGAUGACAGGUGGUGCAUGGUUGUCGUCAGCUCGUGUCGUGAGAUGUUGGGUUAAGUCCCGCAACGAGCGCAACCCUUAUUGUUAGUUGCCAUCAUUAAGUUGGGCACUCUAGCGAGACUGCCCGGGUUAACCGGGAGGAAGGUGGGGAUGACGUCAAAUCAUCAUGCCCCUUAUGUCUAGGGCUACACACGUGCUACAAUGGUCGGUACAAUAAGACGCAAGCCCGCGAGGGGGAGCAAAACUGGAAAACCGAUCUCAGUUCGGAUUGUAGGCUGAAACUCGCCUACAUGAAGCUGGAGUUGCUAGUAAUCGCGAAUCAGCAUGUCGCGGUGAAUACGUUCCCGGGUCUUGUACACACCG